This is a non-coding RNA of Pelobates cultripes (western spadefoot toad), 211 nucleotides long. The record is from the annotation of a GenBank genome assembly. NCBI's taxonomy places the organism in Eukaryota, Metazoa, Chordata, Amphibia, Anura, Pelobatidae.
GUUUACAUAGUUACAAGAGCACCAAUACAAUUAUGUUAGUCUGUGAGUUAACAGCAAUAGGUACAAUAAAAUUUACAGUGAGUUACUGAUCUAUGGCCACAAGUUCUGUCCACUAAACAAUUAGACCAAUGGUUCCUAGCCCAGACCUAAAGGAACACUAACAUUCCAGUAUUUAGGCAUAUGCCAAGUAGGGAUUUUAACAAAAUGUGAG